RNAcentral lists this ribosomal RNA (253 nucleotides) under uncultured bacterium. Its description in RNAcentral is "partial 16S ribosomal RNA". It matches the Rfam family "Bacterial small subunit ribosomal RNA", at positions 524 to 776 of the family's 1533-position model. The record is from RNAcentral.
UACGGAGGAUCCAAGCGUUAUCCGGAAUCAUUGGGUUUAAAGGGUCCGUAGGCGGUUUGGUAAGUCAGUGGUGAAAGCCCAUCGCUUAACGAUGGAACGGCCAUUGAUACUGCCAGACUUGAAUUACUAGGAAGUAACUAGAAUAUGUAGUGUAGCGGUGAAAUGCUUAGAUAUUACAUGGAAUACCAAUUGCGAAGGCAGGUUACUACUAGUGGAUUGACGCUGAUGGACGAAAGCGUGGGGAGCGAACAGG